Crotalus tigris (Tiger rattlesnake) is the source of this 3659-nucleotide RNA transcript. It is a transcript of the gene named proline rich 15, with no coding region annotated. The transcript has 4 exons. The record is from RefSeq and is a predicted model, not a curated record. Lineage: Eukaryota; Metazoa; Chordata; Lepidosauria; Squamata; Viperidae.
AAAUGUGAAAAACAGUCAUAAGUCACUUUUUUCAGUGCCAUUGUAACUUUGAAUGGUCACUAAAUGAAUGAUUGUAAGUCGAGAACUACUUCUAUUAGAGUAGGCUAAUUUUACUGACAAUUUCAAUUUGCUGUGGAGACUGAUGCAGUUAUUAUUUAUUGUUUACAAUUCCUUUGUUUAAAGGAAUUAAUUAUAUUGAACCAAUAAAAUGGAGCUUGGACAAAAUUAUUUUUCACUUGUCCUAUUGUUUAAAAGGAUCAGUUUACUGAAUCAAUAAAAUGAAACUUGGAUAAAAUCCUUUUUCACUUGCAGUCAGAGAGUAACAGCAAAUAACUUAAUAUCAAUUUUAGCAGUCCACAUCAGCUUUUCUUAACCUGAUGUUCUUCAGAUUUGUUCUACUUUAAGUCUUAUCCAAGGAAACAUUGCAUGAUGCCCUUCCAUAAUGACAUUGUGGGAGUGAUGACACCAUGGAAGUGAUCUGCACAUAUUUCAGAGCAUCAUUUGUAUGAGUAUAAUGGAACCAACUUCAAAAGCUGCUUCAAGAGAGUUGUCGGCAGCUGCUGCAGUCCUUGAUGUAACACAUUUUUAUUCCAAAAAUGGCCACAUAGAAAGCAAGAUUAAAAAAAAAAAGUAAAAUGAAGAAAAUAACUCAUCUAUGGAAAUUCUUAAUCAUCCAGGUCACAGUUGUCCCAAAAGUGGUUUUUUUUUCUUCAAAAAGGCAACUGGAUUUUUUUGGUUUUUAUUCUGAAAAUUUUUCGCUUCUCAUCCGAGAAGCUUCUUCAGUUCUGAAGAAGGAGGAUGAUAUUUGGGAAGUAUUGCAUGUGACAAAUUCAUUGACAUGACCAAACUCCAUUGAAAUCAAUUUAAAGCAUACGUAAACACAAGCAUAGGCAGAGGGAAGAAAAGAAGAUGCAGUAAUUAUAAUUUAUCUUUUCUUUUAUUCUAGAAUGUUAACAUUGGCAUUUAAGUAGGAUUAAAUAUGUUCUUACAAAUGACAUUUAAUCAUGAGAGCAGGCUGCCCCCAAAACUGCCAGCACCUGUGCUUUUUUUCCAUUCUUUUCAAGGCCUCUCCUCAGCAUCAGCAUAGCAAAAUAACUAUAAAAGCUUGCUGGGAAAAAGCCGAGGGAGUAUUGGAAUAGCAGUAACUGUGAAAAGUGCAGAAGAGAGAAACUAGAAGUAAGUAAUGUGCUUUGUGUGUGUGUUAUCUAGGGACCUGUCUUAUUGUUGGCUGUUUUGUGUCUUAAGCCUACCGAAUUUGUUAUAGUUUAAAAGAACGUAGCUCAUAUUCUUUUUAUUUUAAAAAAAUUAAAAAAUUAAAUACUUUUUAUAAAUACAUUUAGAGUUGUGUAAGAAGAGACAGAUAUUUAAUAUUAAGACAAUCCUGAAAUGAUGGUAGUCUUUUAAAAGAGCAUACAAGAAUUUGGGGGAAGCUUGUAGAUUAUGGAACUGGGCAAGGGAUGAGUUCAAAUGUUUUAUUUUCAUAAGCCACACUUAUCAGUCUGAACUGGAAACAUGCCAGUGGAUAAACACAAAAUAAAAUGAUUUAUUAGUACCUUAACUAUCAAUUCUGCAUGCACAGAAAAUUUAAAUCUUUGAGGCUUUUAUUCACAGCUCAGACACUUACAUUCUAUGAUUGUCUUUUUUACUCCAGGUUAAAAUGCCCCCAACUGUACUUCUGAGAUCAAACAUUUGUUUCCGUGUGCUAUCAUCCUGUAUCCAGGAAGCAUCAAGCUAGAUGUGUGAUGCUGACUGGGAUAUGCUGGGCGUUGAAGUUCACAUAUCUUCAAACUGUUGGGAAAUACUGGUCUAGAAGAUCAUCUCAGUGGGACAUUGAUUAUCCCAAGAAACUUCACUCGUUCCCAAAGUCUGCCAUUCCAGAGAUACAAACAUAAUACAUUAAAGUACCAAUGUUAACAUGUUAAGAAACGAACAAAAUCCUAGAAGGGCUGCCUAUUCCCUCUCUUCAAGUCUCUGCUUCAACGUAUGUUUAAUGUUCAACUAUAAUCUCCCUUCCAGAAUGCAGAAUAAAACUUUAUUUCCACCCUUGCCCCAAAUAGAUAUGAAUAACAUUUAAGCAAAUAUUAAAAUAAGCUAAAGAAAUAUCAUCCCUAUAAUGAGUCCCAGUCCCUCUUCGUCUCUUCAAUUUUUGAUGCUUUCUUAAGUAAUUAUUCUCAGAGGCCUUCAGGUGUAUUUUAUUACCAAUAUUGGUUAUACCUGGGUUUUAAUAUGUCCCACUAAGACUUUUCUUCAAUUUACAAGGGAGGGGAAAAGAAAAGAGAACCUAUUUGUCAAUUGCUGCAGCCAACAUCCAAUUAGAUCGACAAAGAUAAAUUUUUGUCCUGUUCUCUUUUACAGCUACCUUUGCCAGUUAUUUGAAAUAUUAGAGCUUGCUGAGUUUUUACUUACUGCCGACCAACGCUUGUCAAAUUACUUUUCUAUAGGAACCAAUCACAUUUUUGAAGAAGAAAAGGGCGGGUUCCAUUCGAGAGCUCACCUACACCUGCCUCCUAAUUGUUUUCCCAAGAAAUACCCAGCACAGUUUCCAUCGCUGAAGAAACUGCCUUUAGUCAACUCUAGAGGCUAUUCGGGGUAAGUUAGCCUCUUCUACGGCGCGACCCUACAACGGUUCACCUGGGAAAGUUGAUCGCUCCCAUUUGGAGCGGGCGGGCGCUUCAAGACAGCUGACUCUGAAACAGCCUGUUGCUGAGGUAGCGAGGUUCUCAGGAAAGGAAGGUAACUACAAUCCUUCCGCGGGACGCGGAGAUGAUGGUCUGAGGGUUUAUUCCCAUUCUCUUGGCGACUGGCAAGAGCGAGCACGUGAGUUCCAAGGGGAACAGGUGAGAGCGCAGCUUUGCCUUCCCUUCUUGCCCGAAGGCAGCUCCCACAGGUUUUGCCCUGGAGAAGACCCCUGCUUCCAUCUCACGCUCUCGCUUCCCGGAAAAGAGGGAAGGGGCGCCCACCUAUUUCGCGGCAUUGAGUGUGUGCCGGUUCUAACACCCUCUCCCCCUGCCUUCCACGAGCGCCUUGCACUAAAGUCGCUGGAAGUGGACGGUUGUAUUGGUGCUCGGUGAAAGGAAGCGUCUCUUUGCGGCUCGGUUGCGCUGCAUGAGCUGGAACAGAGGUGGCUUUUAGCUCCGCGCUCUUGAAUAGUCCUGCCAGUAGAAGAGGAUUUCCGUCUGGUGUUUUCAAAAAUCCUUGAGGAUUUGCGCCUCUCUGGUGGGUUCUUUAAUCCAAUACGCGUUUCUUCGUAAAACAAUCCCUUGAACUCGGAGAAAACCUUCUUAAAUAUCUUUAGAUUUGCUUCUGAACAAAAAUGCACAGAGCUGCACUUCAAAUCUCAUGGGAGUUAAAGCAAUCCCCAUGAAAUAUGUAUAUCUUUUUAAUUGUUUUGAAACGUGCCUGCCCUCUUUGACUUUUACCAUUCCUCAAUAGCCUUCUGCGCAUACAACAACUGCAUAACAGGCAGGAACAUCACAGAACUCUUUUCUUCCUUGACUGUCCUGAAGGACCCAGCCAAAAAGUAUAGGGAACAGUGGCAUGGACACAGCCCUUCUUGAACAAAACUGAUACUGAAAAGUCUGCACCACUUGAGAAAAGCAAAGUCCUUGAAAGAAGUUCGGACUGUCCCCUGCCCCCCCCCCCCGAACGGGAAAGGAAAG